ACCGGCGCACGGGUGAGUAACGCGUAUCCAACCUGCCCCACGGUGAGGGAUAACCCGCGGAAACGCGGCCUAAUACCUCAUGGUGGGAUGGGGAUGCGUCUGAUUAGCUUGUUGGCGGGGCAACGGCCCACCAAGGCAACGAUCAGUAGGGGUUCUGAGAGGAAAGCCCCCCACAUUGGAACUGAGACACGGUCCAAACUCCUACGGGAGGCAGCAGUAAGGAAUAUUGGUCAAUGGGCGAGAGCCUGAACCAGCCAAGUAGCGUGCAGGACGACGGCCUAUGGGUUGUAAACUGCUUUUAUGCGGGGAUAGGUACCGCAUGAAUAAGGACCGGCUAAUUCCGUGCCAGCAGCCGCGGUAAUACGGAAGGUCCGGGCGUUAUCCGGAUUUAUUGGGUUUAAAGGGAGCGCAGGCCGGGUAUUAAGCGUGUUGUGAAAUGUAGGCGCCCAACGUCUGCACCGCAGCGCGAACUGGUGCCCUUGAGUACGCACGACGUUGGCGGAAUUCGCCGUGUAGCGGUGAAAUGCUUAGAUAUGGCGAAGAACUCCGAUUGCGAAGGCAGCUGACGGGAGCGCUACUGACGCUCAUGCUCGAAAGC
This 598-nucleotide ribosomal RNA is filed under the name uncultured bacterium. Its description in RNAcentral is "bacterial SSU rRNA". It matches the Rfam family "Bacterial small subunit ribosomal RNA", at positions 94 to 760 of the family's 1533-position model. The record is from RNAcentral.